AGAGGACGGUUCUUUUAUACAAUCUAUGAAGGAUGGAGAGCAUAGCGCCAGCAAACAUCAUGAUGAGGAGUGAAGAUGAUUCACACACACACAUACACUGAGUAAG
Melanotaenia boesemani (Boeseman's rainbowfish) is the source of this 106-nucleotide long non-coding RNA. RefSeq lists it as uncharacterized. The transcript has 3 exons. The record is from RefSeq and is a predicted model, not a curated record. Lineage: Eukaryota; Metazoa; Chordata; Actinopteri; Atheriniformes; Melanotaeniidae.